CACCAGAAGACUGGGACAUUGGUAUAUUUUUAUUUACAAGGCCAUGCUCGGACCGCUACCCUCCUACAUUUGCAAUUUAAUCACACAGAGGAGUAUUGAAUCUUAUUCAUUGCGUUCAAAUGAUCAUUUCUUGUUGACGGCCCCAUUUGCCUGCACCGAACUUGGAAAAAGGGAGUUUGUUUAUUCUGCUCCUUCUACUUGGAACAUGUUGCGAAAGGGCUGGAAAUUAACAGAAUUUAUUUCACAGAAUGCCUUUAAGUCCAAAUUGAGAGCAUUUGAGACCACUUCAUCACAAUGUAAAUGUUUUUUUUUUAUAAUUUUAUAUUUGCAAUUAUGUAAAUUGAUGUAAUUGAUGUAACUUCUGCUGCCUCUUGGUCAGGACUCCCUUGAAAAAAAGGUUUUUUAAUCUCAACAGGACUUUCCUGGUUAAAUAAAGGUUUUAAAAAAUAAAUGUAAAUCAUGUGUUGCU
This is a long non-coding RNA of Thalassophryne amazonica, 469 nucleotides long. RefSeq lists it as uncharacterized. Lineage: Eukaryota; Metazoa; Chordata; Actinopteri; Batrachoidiformes; Batrachoididae. The record is from RefSeq and is a predicted model, not a curated record. The transcript is spliced from 3 exons.